AGUGAACGCUGGCGGUAGGCCUAACACAUGCAAGUCGAACGGCAGCACAGUAAGAGCUUGCUCUUACGGGUGGCGAGUGGCGGACGGGUGAGGAAUACAUCGGAAUCUACUUUUUCGUGGGGGCUAACGUAGGGAAACUUACGCUAAUACCGCAUACGACCUACGGGUGAAAGCAGGGGAUCUUCGGACCUUGCGCGAUUGAAUGAGCCGAUGUCGGAUUAGCUAGUUGGCGGGGUAAAGGCCCACCAAGGCGACGAUCCGUAGCUGGUCUGAGCGGAUGAUCAGCCACACUGGAACUGAGACACGGUCCAGACUCCUACGGGAGGCAGCAGUGGGGAAUAUUGGACAAUGGGCGCAAGCCUGAUCCAGCCAUACCGCGUGGGUGAAGAAGGCCUUCGGGUUGUAAAGCCCUUUUGUUGGGAAAGAAAAGCAGCAGGUUAAUACCCCGCUGUUCUGACGGUACCCAAAGAAUAAGCACCGGCUAACUUCGUG
Molecule: ribosomal RNA, 492 nt
Filed under: uncultured bacterium
Lineage: Bacteria
Description: partial 16S ribosomal RNA
Rfam family: Bacterial small subunit ribosomal RNA
Source: RNAcentral